RNAcentral lists this ribosomal RNA (245 nucleotides) under uncultured bacterium. RNAcentral describes it as "partial 16S ribosomal RNA". It matches the Rfam family "Bacterial small subunit ribosomal RNA", at positions 524 to 768 of the family's 1533-position model. The record is from RNAcentral.
GACGGAGGAUGCAAGCGUUAUCCGGAAUGAUUGGGCGUAAAGGGUCCGCAGGUGGUAAUGUAAGUCUACUGUUAAAGCAUCUGGCUUAACUAGAUAAAAGCACCAGAAACUAUAUUGCUAGAGUAUGGUAAGGGCAGAGGGAAUUCAGAGAGUAGCGGUGAAAUGCGUAGAUACUCUGAAGAACAUCGGUGGCGAAAGCGCUCUGCUAGUCCAUAACUGACACUCAUGGACGAAAGCUAGGGGAG